Molecule: unclassified non-coding RNA, 332 nt
Filed under: soil metagenome
Description: partial contains 5.8S ribosomal RNA, internal transcribed spacer 2, and large subunit ribosomal RNA
Rfam family: 5.8S ribosomal RNA (bases 1-120)
Source: RNAcentral
GAUGAAGAACGCAGCGAAAUGCGAUAAGUAGUGUGAAUUGCAGAAUUCAGUGAAUCAUCGAAUCUUUGAACGCACAUUGCGCCCUUUGGUAUUCCUUAGGGCAUGCCUGUUCGAGCGUCAUUUAAACCUUCAAGCUAAGCUUGGUGUUGGGUGACUGUCCGCUUCACGGCGGACUCGCCUCAAAAUUAUUGGCGGCCGGUACAUUGGCUUCGAGCGCAGCAGAAACGCGAACUCGGGCCCGUCGUAUUGGCUCCCAGAAGCUAUCUUCACAAUUUUGACAUCGGAUCAGGUAGGGAUACCCGCUGAACUUAAGCAUAUCAAUAAGCGGAGGA